RNAcentral lists this non-coding RNA (23 nucleotides) under Rattus norvegicus (Norway rat). The record is from RNAcentral. Lineage: Eukaryota; Metazoa; Chordata; Mammalia; Rodentia; Muridae.
UAGAAAUGGAGCAUCCCAGGUUC